AUUGAACGCUGGCGGCAGGCCUAACACAUGCAAGUCGAGCGGACGAAGGGGGAUUGCUCUCGGAUUCAGCGGCGGACGGGCGGGUGAUGCCCAGGAAGAUGCCUGGUAUUGGGGAAUAAGGUCAGGAAACGGGCGCUAAUACCACAUACGUCCAUAGGUUGAACGGGGGGGAUCUUCGGAGCUAACGGUAUUUGCUGACACUAAGAGGGAUUAGCUAGUUGGUGGGGUAAAGGGCUACCAAGGCGACGAACCGUAACUGAUCUGAGAGGGUGAUCAGCCACACUGGAACUGAGACACGGUCCCGACUCCUACGGGAGGCAGCAGUGGGGAAUAUUGGGCAAUGGGCGAAAGCCUGAUCCAGCCAUGCCGCGUGUGUGAGGAAGGUCUUCGGAUUGUAAAGCUCUUUUAGUUGGGAGGAAGAAAAGUAAGUUAAUCCCUGGCUGUUUUGACGUUACCAAAAGAAUAAGCACCGGCUAACUUCGUG
Molecule: ribosomal RNA, 484 nt
Filed under: uncultured bacterium
Lineage: Bacteria
Description: partial 16S ribosomal RNA
Rfam family: Bacterial small subunit ribosomal RNA
Source: RNAcentral